UACGGAAGGGGGGCUAGCGUUGCUCGGAAUGACUGGGCGUAAAGGGCGCGUAGGCGGAUGGCACAGUCAGAUGUGAAAUUCCCGGGCUUAACCUGGGGGCUGCAUUUGAUACGUGUGAUCUAGAGUGAGGAAGAGGGUCGUGGAAUUCCCGAGUGUAGAGGUGAAAUUCGUAGAUAUUGGGAAGAACACCGGUGGCGAAGGCGGCGACCUGGUCCUUGACUGACGCUGGAGGCGCGAAAGCGUGGG
RNAcentral lists this ribosomal RNA (246 nucleotides) under uncultured bacterium. RNAcentral's name for it is "partial 16S ribosomal RNA". It matches the Rfam family "Bacterial small subunit ribosomal RNA", at positions 524 to 765 of the family's 1533-position model. The record is from RNAcentral.